This 497-nucleotide ribosomal RNA is filed under the name uncultured bacterium. Its description in RNAcentral is "partial 16S ribosomal RNA". It matches the Rfam family "Bacterial small subunit ribosomal RNA", at positions 28 to 507 of the family's 1533-position model. The record is from RNAcentral.
GAUGAACGCUGGCGGCGUGCCUAAUACAUGCAAGUCGAUCGAACAGACGAGCAUCUUGCUCCUCUCCCGUUCGCGGCGGACGGGUGAGUAACACGUGGAUAACCUACCUAUAAGACUGGGAUAACGUCGGGAAACCGGAGCUAAGACCGGAUAAUAUAUUGAACUGUCUGGUUCAAUAAUGAAAGACGGUUUUGCUGUGACUUAUAGAUGGAUCCCCGGCUGAUUAGCUAGUUGCUAAGGUAACGGCUUACCAAGGCAACGAUGCGUAGCCGACAUGGGGGGGAGAGGUGCCCCGCGGGAACUGAGAGACGGUCCAGAGGGGUACGGGAGGCGGCAGUAGGGAAUCUUGCGCGAUGGGGGGAAGCCUGAUGGAGCAACGGCGCGUGAGUGAUGAAGGUCUUCUGAGCGUAAAACGAUGUUAUUAGGGAAGAACAGAGGUGUAAGUAACUAUGAACAAAUUGACGGUACCUAAACAGAAAGCCACGGCUAAAUACGUG